UUGGAGGGCAAGUCUGGUGCCAGCAGCCGCGGUAAUUCCAGCUCCAAUAGCGUAUAUUAAAGUUGUUGCAGUUAAAAGCUCGUAGUUGGAUUUCGGGGUUCUACCGUUGGUCGGGCUUUGUCUGUACUGGCGUGUAGAAUUUCUACCUUCUGGGGAACCACCAUGUUAUUAAUUUAGCGUGGUGGGAAACCAGGACCUUUACCUUGAAAAAAUUAGAGUGUUCAAAGCAGGCUUAUGUCUGAAUACAUUAGCAUGGAAUAAUAGAAUAGGACGGUGGUCCUGUUUUGUUGGUUUCUGAAUCACCGUAAUGAUUAAUAGGGAUAGUUGGGGGCAUUAGUAUUCAAUUGUCAGAGGUGAAAUUCUUGGAUUUAUUGAAGACUAACUUCUGCGAAAGCAUUUGCCAAGGAUGUUUUCAUUAAUCAAGAACGAAAGUUAGGGGAUCGAAGACGAUCAGAUACCGUCGUAGUCUUAACCAUAAACUAUGCCGACUAGGGAUCGGACGAUGUUAAUUUUUCUUGACUCGUUCGGCGCCUUACGGGAAAC
RNAcentral lists this ribosomal RNA (543 nucleotides) under uncultured Glomeromycotina. RNAcentral's name for it is "SSU rRNA". It matches the Rfam family "Eukaryotic small subunit ribosomal RNA", at positions 548 to 1098 of the family's 1831-position model. The record is from RNAcentral. Lineage: Eukaryota; Fungi; Glomeromycota.